This 243-nucleotide long non-coding RNA is filed under the name Hordeum vulgare. RNAcentral describes it as "long non-coding RNA (HVUL_LNC009200)". Lineage: Eukaryota; Viridiplantae; Streptophyta; Magnoliopsida; Poales; Poaceae. The record is from RNAcentral.
CGCCAAUUCCAUGAUGCUCUUCAUCGUCCGUGAGUAAUCUAAUCGUAGGCUUGAUGGACGGUGAUUGGUUGGAUGAGAUCUAUCAUGUAAUCGAGUUAGUUUUGAUGGGGAUUGAUCCCUAGUAUCCACUAUGUUCUCAGAUUGAUGUUGCUACUACUUUGUUAUGCUUAAUGCUUGUCCCUAGGCCCGAGUGUCAUGAUUUCAGAUUUGAACCUAUUAUGUUUCCAUCGAUAUAUGUGUGUU